GUGGCUUCUGGCUUUCGCAAUUGGCUUCCCAAGCCGAGGGUCGCGAGUUCGAAUCUCGUCGUCCGCUCCA
RNAcentral lists this transfer RNA (70 nucleotides) under Desulfosporosinus orientis DSM 765. RNAcentral's name for it is "tRNA-Und (NNN) (tRNA-Und-NNN-1-1)". Lineage: Bacteria; Bacillati; Bacillota; Clostridia; Eubacteriales; Desulfitobacteriaceae. The record is from RNAcentral.